Molecule: long non-coding RNA, 749 nt
Filed under: Theobroma cacao (cacao)
Lineage: Eukaryota; Viridiplantae; Streptophyta; Magnoliopsida; Malvales; Malvaceae
Description: long non-coding RNA (TCAC_LNC005827)
Source: RNAcentral
AAAGAGGAAAACAAAACAAAAGAGUAAAUGAGACAAAAAAGCAAGAAAAAAAAACUUAGAAACCCAAACAAAAAAAGAAUAAAUGAGACAAAAAAGUAGAAAAAAAAUCCAGCUAGAAACCCAAACUAAAAAAGAGUAAAUGAGACAAAGAAGUAGAAAAAAAUCCAGAAAACCAAAUCGGAAAAAAAACCUGCAAAAAAGAAAAACAACCCUAAAAUCUGAAAAAAAAACUAUCAGUUGAAGAAACAAAGAUAAGGUAAGAGAAAAGAGCAAGAAAUUUGAAGAAGAAGAGUGUAGAGAGAAUGAAAAGAGCAAAUGAAACAAAGCAAGUAAGAGAGAAAUUUCUUCAAGAAAGAUGGAAAAAUGGAAAAAUCAAAGUGAAAUAAAAAGAUAAAAAAAAACACCAUGAAAAUACUAAAGUAAAAUGAAUAAAGGAGAGAGAGAAAGAAUAACAGAGAACUCUAAUUAAUUAUAGGUCACAAUUACCAAAAAACCCUACACUUAUACGUUAGAAAGAUAAAAAAUAAAAACUCUCUAUUUUCUACAAAAUACUAUGUGCAUCUUAAAAUUAGCCCAUUACAAAGAUAAAAAAAAUCAUAUGUUUUCACAGAAUAUCACCUGCACCCCAAAAUUCAAGUCAAAAUCAAUCUUGUUGACUUGGUGCUCUAAUUUCACUCAAUUGUCCCCUCCUCGGGACAACAUUUAAUUAUAGUAGAUUCUUAACAUUAUUCCUAAACACAUUAUUGAUA